Molecule: long non-coding RNA, 1517 nt
Organism: Micropterus dolomieu (smallmouth bass)
Lineage: Eukaryota; Metazoa; Chordata; Actinopteri; Centrarchiformes; Centrarchidae
Exons: 3
Source: RefSeq, a predicted model, not a curated record
AUGAAAUGGAAUUAAUUUGCCUCAUAACUACAACUCACUUGAAUAAAGAUUUUCAAUAAAUGUGUAAUUUAGUACUGCUAACUAACCGAGGGCGCCAUUUUUUCGAUUCGGUCGGUUGAAUUCAUCAGUCUGGCCAGCUCUUCACACAGUAAAGGGUCGCUGGGGGGCUGGAGCCAAUCCCAGGCGCAAGGCGGGGUACACCCUGGACAGGUAUUUGGUGACCUCCAGUUGAGAUCUCUGCUUCGUACCUUAGGCCAUGUAGUAAAUGGUGAGUAAUAUACAAAUGUUUUCAUUUUAUUUGAUAUCAGUGUUUCCCAUACGUUCAUUUAUUUGUGGUGGCCCUCCACAAUAUCAACGCUGACGGCCACAUAUAGAUUUUCGAUUUUUUAUUUUAAAUCGUAUUGGGUUGCAGAGCGCCAUAGCGCAUUUGCACAGCACAUCCUCUUGCUCAUCCCUCUCUCUCGCUCACCUGUCCCUCUCUUUCUGUCUCUCCCUCCCUCUCCCUCAUGAACACAGCUGCACAAAUCUCAACACAACGCUGUCAAUGUCGGAGACUCAGCUUAAAAAAAAAACAAACAGUUAUUAGCAAGCAUGUAAAGAGCCUAGCUAAUAAGGAGAGCUAUGUUAAUGUUAGAAUGCAGCUGGACUUUCGAGGCUAGUACGCUGUAUAUAGCUGAUAGUCAGCGUCAACUGCACUGUCAUUCUGUGGGAAACACUGGAGAUGUUUAAAGUGGAUUGUCAAGACUUUUAUAAGAUCCUCGGUAUUUUCUUGCUGCAAUCUUAGGUAAUCCUGCUGCCAUGAAGGUUAUAAGGUGCAGUGUUUGUUGUCACAGACCUCAAAUUCUACUGAGUCUGCCUGUAGUUUUGUUUUGACAUUUAUGCAGCAUUUUGGUUAUGUUUGGUAAUGAAGGUACUAAAGAAAUGUUGUGUAUAUGAUGAAAUUUUUAAGGACUUUCAACUCCAUGACUCAACUCUUCUUAUUCCCCCCUGAUUUAGGAUGAUGAUAUUGAUGUUUGGCGGGAAUGCAUACUCAAGGGACUGUGUGUGUACCUCAAUGAAGACCCGGAAAUAUGAGCGAGAGAAUACACUGAGUAUAAUUAUUAGGGUUCAGUACUUUUGAGAUUGACAUCACCUCUACAGUACCAUUAAUGUCACCAUCGAUCUCCUUACUUACUUUGUACAUACUGUUGUUUUUGUAAGCAGUGUUUUCAUCAAUCUGAUCACCUCAGUAUUUUCAGAAAGCGAGCUAGCUUAGCUAUUCAGCAAGCCUGUCGGCUACUAAAAUGAAGAAAAGCAGUAUGGCUUAUGAGUGCUGUCUGCUGUAUGGAGUUUUGCUCAGUCUCUGUGUAAGUUCUCACUCAAACUGAUGCUGAGAAAAGGGCAAAAUGGGCAGAUGGGCAGAUAACAUUAGGAAGGAGACAUUCACCAUCACCAGUCGGUCCAGGUAUUUUGGACACGUGAGAACAGCCGAGAACAGACACCUGCCGGGGGCUCAUGCAGCCUGUUGUUACUCAACA